CCCUUAGAUGUUCUGGGCUGCACGCGCGCUACACUGAAGCUAUCAACACGUUUUCCCUCCCUGAGAAGGGCGGGUAACCUUUUGAAUCAGCUUCGUGGUAGGGAUCGGGGCUUGCAAUUGUUCCCCGUGAACCAGGAAUUCCUAGUAGACGCGAGUCAUAAGCUCGCAUCGAUUAAGUCCCUGCCCUUUGUACACACCGCCCGUCGCUACUACCGAUUGAACGUUUUAGUGAGGCAUUUGGACCGACGCAUCUCAGUUUAACCGCUGGUUUGUGUUGGAAAGACUUCCAAACUUGAGCGUUGAGAGGAAGUAAAAGGCGUAACA
Molecule: ribosomal RNA, 324 nt
Filed under: uncultured eukaryote
Lineage: Eukaryota
Description: partial 18S ribosomal RNA
Rfam family: Eukaryotic small subunit ribosomal RNA
Source: RNAcentral